GCAGUGAUUCCUCAAGAAUUAAGGUAUUUAUUUUGUACAUUCUUUUUUAUUGUGCUUUUGAAGGUGAUAAAGGUUGUUACUCUCCUUUGAGAUUUGUUUAGGGAAUUGAAAUCAUGUUUCAGAUUUAUUUGUGCGUGUGUAUUUUUGGAAGUCUGGCAUGUCUGCCUGCAUUUCCUAAUAUCUAUUUGGCUGCAGCUCUUUUUUGUCCUUCCUCUUGGAUUAAAACUUUAGUGUAUCAGUUGCAGCCAACAACUAUUGGUUGGUCAUAUCCGAGCUUUUUUCCAAAAGGAAGGAUUUGAAAAG
Molecule: unclassified non-coding RNA, 303 nt
Filed under: Hevea brasiliensis (rubber tree)
Lineage: Eukaryota; Viridiplantae; Streptophyta; Magnoliopsida; Malpighiales; Euphorbiaceae
Source: RNAcentral